This 253-nucleotide ribosomal RNA is filed under the name uncultured bacterium. Its description in RNAcentral is "partial 16S ribosomal RNA". It matches the Rfam family "Bacterial small subunit ribosomal RNA", at positions 524 to 776 of the family's 1533-position model. The record is from RNAcentral.
UACAGAGGGUGCAAGCGUUAAUCGGAAUGACUGGGCGUAAAGGGCGAGUAGGCGGAAUAAUAAGUGGUGUGGUAAAGACAUGGGCUUAACCUGUGGGUGACACGUCAUACUGUUAUUCUAGAGAGGAGGAGAGGAGAGUGGAAUUUCCGGAGGAGCGGUGAAAUGCGUAGAUCUCGGAAAGAACACCGGUGGCGGAGGCGACUCUCUGGCCUCCAUCUGACGCUGAGGCGCGAAAGCGUGGGUAGCAAACAGG